RNAcentral lists this ribosomal RNA (305 nucleotides) under uncultured bacterium. RNAcentral's name for it is "bacterial SSU rRNA". It matches the Rfam family "Bacterial small subunit ribosomal RNA", at positions 333 to 653 of the family's 1533-position model. The record is from RNAcentral.
UAAGCCCUACGGGACGCAGCAGUGGGGAAUAUUGGGCAAUGGGCGCAAGCCUGACCCAGCAACGCCGCGUGAAGGAAGAAGGCUUUCGGGUUGUAAACUUCUUUUAAGAGGGAAGAGCAGAAGACGGUACCUCUUGAAUAAGCCACGGCUAACUACGUGCCAGCAGCCGCGGUAAUACGUAGGGGGCAAGCGUUAUCCGGAUUUACUGGGUGUAAAGGGAGCGUAGACGGCAUUGCAAGUCUGAUGUGAAAGAUUGGGGCUCAACCCCAGGCCUGCAUUGGAAACUGUAAAGCUGGAGUACAGGG